RNAcentral lists this ribosomal RNA (465 nucleotides) under uncultured bacterium. RNAcentral describes it as "partial 16S ribosomal RNA". It matches the Rfam family "Bacterial small subunit ribosomal RNA", at positions 338 to 795 of the family's 1533-position model. The record is from RNAcentral.
CCUACGGGAGUCAGCAGUAGGGAAUCUUCCACAAUGGGCGAAAGCCUGAUGGAGCAACGCCGCGUGGGUGAAGAAGGUCUUCGGAUCGUAAAACCCUGUUGUUAGAGAAGAAAGUGCGUGAGAGUAACUGUUCACGUUUCGACGGUAUCUAACCAGAAAGCCACGGCUAACUACGUGCCAGCAGCCGCGGUAAUACGUAGGUGGCAAGCGUUAUCCGGAUUUAUUGGGCGUAAGGGGAACGCAGGCGGUCUUUUAAGUCUGAUGUGAAAGCCUUCGGCUUAACCGGAGUAGGGCAUUGGAAACUGGGAGACUGGAGUGCAGAAGAGGAGAGUGGAACUCCAUGUGUAGCGGUGAAAUGCGUAGAUAGAUGGAAGAACACCAGUGGCGAAAGCGGCUCUCUGGUCUGUAACUGACGCUGAGGUUCGAAAGCGUGGGUAGCAAACAGGAUUAGAUACCCUGGUAGUC